Molecule: transfer RNA, 65 nt
Filed under: Paroster mesosturtensis
Lineage: Eukaryota; Metazoa; Arthropoda; Insecta; Coleoptera; Dytiscidae
Description: tRNA-Ile
Source: RNAcentral
AAUGAAAUGCCUGAAUAAAGGGUUAUUUUGAUAGAAUAAAUUAUGUAAAUUUUUUACUUUCAUUA